AUACCUUUCUCGGCCUUUUGGCUAAGAUCAAGUGUAGUAUCUGUUCUUAUCAGUUUAAUAUCUGAUACGUGGGUCAUCGAUCCACAUGAUAUUAAAUUUAUUUUUCUAGGGGGAGGAUCCAUCACAGUAGCUUGCUCCUAGGAUCCUCGAGCGUUGCCCAUGCGUUGCACUACUGCACGGGCCUGGCGCACCCCAC
Molecule: small nuclear RNA, 196 nt
Filed under: Corchorus olitorius
Lineage: Eukaryota; Viridiplantae; Streptophyta; Magnoliopsida; Malvales; Malvaceae
Description: U2 spliceosomal RNA
Rfam family: U2 spliceosomal RNA
About the family: U2 is a small nuclear RNA (snRNA) component of the spliceosome (involved in pre-mRNA splicing). Complementary binding between U2 snRNA (in an area lying towards the 5' end but 3' to hairpin I) and the branchpoint sequence (BPS) of the intron results the bulging out of an unpaired adenosine, on the BPS, which initiates a nucleophilic attack at the intronic 5' splice site, thus starting the first of two transesterification reactions that mediate splicing.
Source: Rfam by way of RNAcentral